UAGAAGAAAGAUGUAAAGUAUAGUCUUUCAUACCACAUAGAGCUAAUAGAAUAAUAAAAAGAAAAAACUCUUGUUUCAAGUACGGCCUCAAAAGUUGAUACUUAUCUAUCAUAGCAAAUAAAGACUUCUAUUUCUACAGUGAGAGAACAAGUGAGUAUAGAGAUACUUAUGCCUCUUCUCGAAAGUCCUUUGAUAUCCUCAACAAUAAUGCCCAAGUACCUCUUAGGAUCAAAUAUAGAAGUUGUGAUAAAGCUCCCUCUCAUCCCUCU
RNAcentral lists this long non-coding RNA (269 nucleotides) under Physcomitrium patens. Its description in RNAcentral is "long non-coding RNA (PPAT_LNC001745)". The record is from RNAcentral. Lineage: Eukaryota; Viridiplantae; Streptophyta; Bryopsida; Funariales; Funariaceae.